ACACGUCAAAGCAUUUAUGAUCUGAAGUAAAUUUGAAGGUGUCGCCAAUCACUUCAAAAUGAUGGCACACUACAAAAAAUAUGCUUUACGGCACUAAGUCAGAAAUUAUUUGAAAGUUUUUUGGGUUCUGCAGUUACAACUUUCAACGAAAUCUAUUUGAGGAAACUACUGCUGCCUGGCGAUGAAAUACCAUUUAAUUUUUGUUUUUAUCUGGUGUUUCCUUUUAAUGAACUUAGUCCUGUGCAAUGCGGCUGAUAAUGAUAAACCUGGUUUAUUGGAGGCAAUACCAAAAGGGUUACGGCUUGCCGUCGUUGGUCUUCUAGAUAAAGUCUCAAAUGGGCUUAAGUUUUUAGUUAGAACAGUUGUUUGAAAAGUACCUCUCAUUUGAAGAACUAGAAGACACUGGACGACGACUAAAAGACCUGUUUUUAAAUCUAAAAUGUACUCUGAAAUCAAUAAAGAAAUUUCUAAAGAGA
This is a long non-coding RNA of Parasteatoda tepidariorum (common house spider), 476 nucleotides long. RefSeq lists it as uncharacterized. NCBI's taxonomy places the organism in Eukaryota, Metazoa, Arthropoda, Arachnida, Araneae, Theridiidae. The record is from RefSeq and is a predicted model, not a curated record.